RNAcentral lists this long non-coding RNA (1398 nucleotides) under Prunus persica (peach). RNAcentral's name for it is "long non-coding RNA (PPER_LNC002375)". The record is from RNAcentral. Lineage: Eukaryota; Viridiplantae; Streptophyta; Magnoliopsida; Rosales; Rosaceae.
GCGUCUAAUGGGACCAGUUACAGCUGGUUCGUUUUUGUCUGUGUUCAGGGUCGUUUUUCAACUCAUUCACACUUGCUUUUGUCCGAUCACAUUAUGAAUUGACCAAUAAAGUUUGAUGAACUCCGGUGAUAUCGGUUUUUUUUUUUUUUUUUGGUGAACCAUGAAUUAGAUUCCAAGUCAAAAGGCAACUGCAAGGAAAUACACAGAAAGUAGAAACUAAGACAAACUACAGAAGCUCCUUCAUCUGAAUCGCUACAAUUCAGCAAAAGAAGAAACGGAGAAUUUCACUUAGACCCUCUGAAGCUAACUCCACUUAGGACACUUUUUCUCUCUCUUCUUUCACUUUUGGAAAAAGUCAAAACUUUUUCGGAAAAAACAAAAAAAUUCCUCAAUUUUCAAAUCAAAGAUGCAAAUGUAAAUGAUUCAUUUGGAAUUCCAAAAUAAUAAGGGCAUUUUUGUCUAUUUUGGCUUCUUUUCAAAAUAUUUCUCUUUCCUUUGGCAUUUUCCAAAAUAUCCCCUUCUUUAUCUUUUCUCCUCUCUCUUCUUUCCGUCUCUUUGAUAUGCCUUUUUCUUUUAAUUAUCAGUCUUUUUUUUCACUUUUAUUGUGCUGGCAACUAUUGUAAUCUCUCAAAAGUAUUUUUUUUUUCCCACUUUUAUUUUUCUCAACUGAAUUCAUUUUAGUUUUUUUUUUUCCUUUAUGAGUCAAAAUUUUAAGUCUUUGUGGCCCUUUCCAACUCUGGCUUCAAUAAUCCCCCUACAAUCACAAUUGUCAAUGACAACAUUGUUAGAUUUUCUUGCUUAAACAGGUGCAUUCCCUUAUCAGCAUUAACUCGCAUUGCAAUUAACAAAUUAAACCAAACCAUCAUAAUUAUAAAUUAAAUUUAUAAUGAAGUUGGCCAUGUGCGCGCACAAUUCAACAAAGAGUAAUUUAUAUAAACACAUUUGUGGUUUUUAAUGUUUUUAUAUAACUCCUUCAGAUCAUGAAAACUACACAAAUACUAUUUCAAGUUUCAAAACUCCAUAACAGCAAAAAUACUCUUACGCAAAUAGUAAUAUAAACUUGGUAUUGCAAUACGGUUGAAUACCAUCUCAAUUCUUACACAUUAUUGCCAAAUGGGUCUAGCCGAGUGGGGUGGCAAAAAAAAUUUCUGGUGCAAUUCCUUAUCACCAUUAACUUGCAUUGCAAUUAACAAAUUAAACCAAACCAUUAUAAUUAUAAAUUCAAUUCAAUUUACAGGGGCUUACUCAGGAGAGGCUUUGCAAUUUCUGUUUUAUUCACUUGUUAAAACAAUGGGGUCCGCGAAGGGUGAGGAUUAUGUGAUUUACCAUAUCCAUUUGUUGACGUAAUUAAACAAAUUCAACGAAGAGUAAUUUACCCUUGAGGUUUUUAGGGUUUUU